RNAcentral lists this ribosomal RNA (1310 nucleotides) under uncultured fungus. RNAcentral's name for it is "eukaryotic LSU rRNA". The stretch from base 615 to 1310 matches the Rfam family "Eukaryotic large subunit ribosomal RNA", at positions 1 to 667 of the family's 3401-position model. The record is from RNAcentral. Lineage: Eukaryota; Fungi.
CUUGGUCAUUUAGAGGAAGUAAAAGUCGUAACAAGGUUUCCGUAGGUGAACCUGCGGAAGGAUCAUUAUUGAAAUUAUUGGUGAGGGUUGUAGCUGGCCUUUCGGGGCAUGUGCACACCCGAGCCCUUAAUCCACUUUACACCUGUGCACUUAAUGUAGGUCACCCUUGAAAAGGUGACCUAUGUCUUAUCAUCAACCCAUAGUAUGUCCAAUAGAAUGUAAUCGAUAUCCUCGCCCUAAAAAAGCGUUGAUAAACUUAUACAACUUUCAACAACGGAUCUCUUGGCUCUCGCAUCGAUGAAGAACGCAGCGAAAUGCGAUAAGUAAUGUGAAUUGCAGAUUUUCAGUGAAUCAUCGAAUCUUUGAACGCACCUUGCGCCCCUUGGUAUUCCGAGGGGCAUGCCUGUUUGAGUGUCAUUGAAUCCUCAACCGCGCCGAUUGAUUUCGGCGGGGCUUGGACUUUGGAGCGUGCUGGCGAAGGUCGGCUCCUCUUUAAAUGCAUCAGCGGAAGAAACCUUUGUCUUUCCCGCCUUCGGUGUGAUAAUCGUGUUGCGCCGCGGUGGAACUUCAACGAUCCGCUCACAAUGGUCUUCGGACGAAACCUCAUGUCAUCUUGACCUCAAAUCAGGUAGGACUACCCGCUGAACUUAAGCAUAUCAAUAAGCGGAGGAAAAGAAACUAACAAGGAUUCCCCUAGUAACUGCGAGUGAAGCGGGAAAAGCUCAAAUUUAAAAUCUGGCGGUCCUCGCGGCCGUCCGAGUUGUAAUCUGGAGAAGCGUUUUCCGCGUCGGACCGUGUACAAGUCUUCUGGAAUGGAGCGUCGUAGAGGGUGAGAAUCCCGUCUCUGGCACGGACCGCCGAUGCUUUUGUGAUACGCUCUCGAAGAGUCGAGUUGUUUGGGAAUGCAGCUCAAAACGGGUGGUAAAUUCCAUCUAAAGCUAAAUAUUGGCGAGAGACCGAUAGCGAACAAGUACCGUGAGGGAAAGAUGAAAAGCACUUUGGAAAGAGAGUUAAACAGUACGUGAAAUUGUUGAAAGGGAAACGUUUGAAGUCAGUCGCGUCGGUCGAGACUCAACCUUGCUCUUUUGCUCGGCGCACUUCUCGGCCGACGGGUCAGCAUCAAUUUCGACCGUCGGAUAAAGGCCGAGGGAAUGUGGCAUCUUUCGGGAUGUGUUAUAGCCUUCGGUUCGCAUACGGCGAUCGGGAUUGAGGAACUCAGCGCGCCUUCAUCGGUCGGGGCUUCGGCUCACGUUAACGCGUUUAGGAUGCUGGCAUAAUGGCUUUAAGCGACCCGUCUUGAAACACGGACC